AGAGUUUGAUCCUGGCUCAGGAUGAACGCUGGCAGUGUGGAUAGGGCAUGCAAGUCAAGGGGGCCUUCGGGCAACCGGCAGACGAGGUCAGUAACACGUACGAACGUACCCCAGAGUCUGGCAUAGCCAACCGAAAGGUUGGGUAAUUCCAGAUGGUCCUUACGAGGUAAAGAUUUAUCGCUCUGGGAGCGGCGUGCGCAAUAUCAGCUUGUUGGUAAGGUAACGGCUUACCAAGGCUACGACGUUUAGGGGGGGUGAGAGCCUGUUCCCCACCGAGUGGACUGAGACACGGCCACUACUCCUACGGGAGGCUGCAGUCGAGAAUAUUUCGCAAUGGACGAAAGUCUGACGGAGCGACACUGCGUGAUGGAUGAAGUGCCUCGGCACGUAAACAUCUUUUAUGAGGGACGAAAUCAUUGACGGUACCUCAUGAAUAAGGGGCUCCUAACUCUGUGCCAGCAGGAGCGGUAAUACAGAGGCCCCAAGCGUUAUCCGGAAUUACUGGGCGUAAAGGAUGUCAAGGCGGUCAUGUUAGUCGUUCGUUAAAUCCGUGGGCUCAACCUACGGCUCGCGAGCGAAACGGCAUGACUAGAGGUUGGAAGAGGUGCGUGGAACUCACGGUGUAGGGGUGAAAUCCGUUGAUAUCGUGGGGAACACCAAAGGCGAAGGCAGCGCACUGGUCCAAAUCUGACGCUCACACAUGAAAGCCAGGGUAGCGAACGGGAUUAGAUACCCCGGUAGUCC
RNAcentral lists this ribosomal RNA (744 nucleotides) under uncultured soil bacterium. RNAcentral's name for it is "bacterial SSU rRNA". It matches the Rfam family "Bacterial small subunit ribosomal RNA", at positions 8 to 796 of the family's 1533-position model. The record is from RNAcentral.